UACGUAGGGUGCGAGCGUUAAUCGGAAUUACUGGGCGUAAGGCGUGCGCAGGCGGGCUUUUAAGCCAGACGUGAAAUCCCCGGGCUUAACCUGGGAAUGGCGUUUGGGACUGGAAGUCUGGAGUACGGCAGAGGAGACUGGAAUUCCUGGUGUAGCAGUGAAAUGCGUAGAUAUCAGGAGGAACACCGAUGGCGAAGGCAGGUCUCUGGGCUGAUACUGACGCUCAUGCACGAAAGCGUGGGGAGCAAACAGG
Molecule: ribosomal RNA, 253 nt
Filed under: uncultured bacterium
Lineage: Bacteria
Description: partial 16S ribosomal RNA
Rfam family: Bacterial small subunit ribosomal RNA
Source: RNAcentral